RNAcentral lists this ribosomal RNA (463 nucleotides) under uncultured bacterium. RNAcentral's name for it is "partial 16S ribosomal RNA". It matches the Rfam family "Bacterial small subunit ribosomal RNA", at positions 30 to 507 of the family's 1533-position model. The record is from RNAcentral.
CGAACGCUGGCGGCGUGCUUCACACAUGCAAGUCGAACGGAAAGGCCCCUUUGGGGGUACUCGAGUGGCGAACGGGUGAGUAACACGUGAGUAACCUGCCCUUGACUUCGGGAUAACUUCAGGAAACUGGGGCUAAUACCGGAUAGGAAUCCUUGCUGCAUGGUGGGGGUUGGAAAGCUUCGGCGGUUUUGGAUGGACUCGCGGCUUAUCAGCUUGUUGGUGGGGUAGUGGCUUACCAAGGCUUUGACGGGUAGCCGGCCUGAGAGGGCGACCGGCCACAUUGGGACUGAGAUACGGCCCAGACUCCUACGGGAGGCAGCAGUGGGGAAUAUUGCACAAUGGGCGGAAGCCUGAUGCAGCAACGCCGCGUGCGGGAUGACGGCCUUCGGGUUGUAAACCGCUUUCAGCAGGGGCGAAGCUUGUGGUGACGGUACCUGCAGAAGAAGCACCGGCUAACUACGUG